Molecule: ribosomal RNA, 374 nt
Filed under: uncultured organism
Description: partial 16S ribosomal RNA
Rfam family: Bacterial small subunit ribosomal RNA
Source: RNAcentral
GUAGGUGGCAAGCGUUGUCCGGGAAUUAUUGGGCGUAAAGCGCGCGCAGGCGGUUCUUUAAGUCUGAUGUGAAAGCCCACGGGCUCAACCGUGGAGGGUCAUUGGAAACUGGAGAACUUGAGUACAGAAGAGGAAAGCGGAAUUCCACGUGUAGCGGUGAAAUGCGUAGAGAUGUGGAGGAACACCAGGGGCGAAGGCGGCUUUCUGGUCUGUAACUGACGCUGAGGCGCGAAAGCGUGGGGAGCAAACAGGAUUAGAUACCCUGGUAGUCCACGCCGUAAACGAUGAGUGCUGAGUGUUAGGGGGUUUCCGCCCCUUAGUGCUGCAGCUAACGCAUUAAGCACUCCGCCUGGGGAGUACGGCCGCAAAGGCUG